CCUACGGGCGGCUGCAGUGGGGAAUAUUGGACAAUGGGCGAAAGCCUGAUCCAGCCAUGCCGCGUGUGUGAAGAAGGCCUUCGGGUUGUAAAGCACUUUCAGUGGGGAAGAAAGCCUUGGGGCUAAUACCCUCGAGGAAGGACAUCACCCACAGAAGAAGCACCGGCUAACUCCGUGCCAGCAGCCGCGGUAAUACGGAGGGUGCGAGCGUUAAUCGGAAUUACUGGGCGUAAAGCGCGCGUAGGCGGUCUGAUAAGCCGGUUGUGAAAGCCCCGGGCUCAACCUGGGAACGGCAUCCGGGAGUGAGAGGGGAAAGUGCAGGAGAGGAAGGAAGAAGUGCCGGUGGAGCGGUGAAAUGCGGAGAGAUCGGAAGGGAUGCCAGGGGCGAAGGCGGGCUACAGGACUGACGCUGACGCUGAGGUGCGAAAGCGUUGAUAGCCAACAGGAGCAGGUACACCAGUAGUC
This 465-nucleotide ribosomal RNA is filed under the name Vreelandella stevensii. Its description in RNAcentral is "partial 16S ribosomal RNA". It matches the Rfam family "Bacterial small subunit ribosomal RNA", at positions 338 to 795 of the family's 1533-position model. Lineage: Bacteria; Pseudomonadati; Pseudomonadota; Gammaproteobacteria; Oceanospirillales; Halomonadaceae. The record is from RNAcentral.